UGCAACUUUAACAUCCCUUUAUUACAAAACUUAUUGCAAUGAUUUCUCUGUAGAGAUAUCCACUCUGUGGAGAAGUCCACUAUGUUCACUAGAAUAUUAACUCAUUAAAGAAAGGGACUAUGCCUUUUCAGUUUGGGGUUUCCACUUUUGGACAGUAUCUGAUAUACAACAAGGUACCAAUGAAUGUUUGCUACAUAAGUAAAGUUCCAUUGGAACAAAUAACCUGCAGCUUUAAAUAGGGGAGCUGUGUAAUUUUAAAUCUAAGAUCUGCUUACUACUAAAUCAUCAGCUAAGGGAGAUUCUACUAAAUCACCAGCUAAGGGUGUUAUGACAAGAAUUGUCAGAGCAUGAAAGGAAAAAGAAGGCAGCAGUUGAAAUGCUAAUAAAUCAUUAGGUUCCUAUAACUCUUUACAGAGACAUAAACCCGCUGUAAUCACUUAUCAACUAGCCUUUGAAAUUGGUGGGUGGCACAAAUUAUUUCCACUAUAUUUUUAUAUUAAGACUUCAGUCUUAGCAAGAUAUUUCAAAGAAAUUAUAGAUUAUCUGUCCAAAACUUAAUGGAGAAGAACAUUUUUGUAGUUCUUGGUUGAUAUUUUGACAUCUAAGAUUAUUAUUUUUGGUUGUCUAAAAGCAGAGAGUAAUCAAAUCUUUUGACAGGUAUUACUUUUAUAGCAGUGACCAUCUUGGCAAAGAGAGAGGUUACAUGUACUGAAAUAUGAUUACACAGUUGUUUUGGAGUCGUGUCUGGAGUUGUUCUGUUUUUCUUUAAAUAACAACAAUGAAGAAUAUAUAUAUUCUUAUGAAUAUAAUUUCAUCAAAUACUUGCUUCAAAUGUCUGUAAGAAACUACCACAGAGCAGUUUUAUAAAAAGAGCCCUGGAGAGAAAUUUUAAGUUUCAAUUAAUUUAAACCUGGAUUCUGUCUCUGGAUCAUCCAGCUGCCAACUUGAAACCUUAGUCAAGUCAUAAUACUUUCAGCUAAAGGAAGACAAUAAAGCUACUUUAUAAGGUUGUUAUGAAGGCUAAAUAAUAUGUCAUUAAUAAUAAUAAUAUUAAUAAUAAAAAUAGAGUGAAUUGUAUGUAUUGGGGACUUACCAUAUGCUAGACACUCCAAAUUUUGUAUUUAAUUCUCACACAACCAAAUGAGGCAGGCCUUAUUAUUACCCUUUUUGAAAGAUGAGAAAACGGGAGUUUAUAGAAAUUAAGUGUAUUGCUCAAGGUCACACACAGUAAAGUAGUAGAGCAAGAAUUCAAAUGCAGGUCUCUCAUACCAAAAUACAAUUGUAAUUGUAAUUGCAUUUCUUCCCAAAUAUAUGUAAAGUGCCUAACAGAAUGUCUGACAUACAUUAAAUCAUCACGAUGUGCUAGUUCCUUUUGUUUCUUACUCUACAUCCUCUAGGACAUCUCAAACAUGCUAUCAAAUUUAACAACCACCUAAAAUGUAUUAUGCCAUCAAAUCUACUUUUCUAACUCAAACCACCCUUCUCCAGUCUCAAGAACUAUACAUCCAGCUUCCUUAAGUGUCCAACAGGCAUGCCAAAUUCAAAAUGGCCCCAUGCAAACUUAGUACUUUUCUCUUAAAUGUGCUCCAUUUAUGAUCCCCAAACAGUGAAUAUUACCAUUUAUUCAGAUGCCUAAAAUAGAAAUAUGAGAGUCAGGGCUUUUAAAAAAUAGUUUGUAAUCUGAUUUACGUCUUCAAUGCUUAUUGACAUGUUGUUUGUAUUUCCUAGGAUGACUGAUCAAAUCUUUCUAAUCAUGAAAAAUUCAGCUUACAUAUUAUCUCCCGUUUGGAGCUUUGUAAUAUAAAUUAAAUAGUAUCACCUCUGUUCAGCUGCCAUACCUUGUAUAUAACUCUAUUUUUAUGUUAUCAUACUAUAUUUUAGAGAUAAAUUUUCAUAUUUCUCUCUUCUACACUAACACAGUACAUCUGAACUUUUGGGAUGAUAGAAAUGUUCUAUAUAUGUGCUGUCUACUAUGGUAGUCAAUAGCUACAUAUGGCUAUAUAUAUUGAGCAUUUGAAAUGUGGCUAGUGGUAUUAAUGUAAUACCUGUCUGUCAACAGAGGAAUUAACGUCUUAAUUUUAUUUAUUUUUACUUAAUGUAAAAAUAAUUUUAAAAUAGCUACAUGUGGCUAGCAACUACUGUAAUGCACAGUGUAGCACUUGACUCUGAGCUCAGUGAGGGCAAAUACCAUUUCUUACUCACUUUUAUCCAAUGCCUAGAACAUAGCAGAGCCUCAAAAAAUAUAUGGAGAAUGAGUGAAUGAAUGAAUAAAUAUUUUACAGUGGUAGAAUAGAGAAAAAUCUACUUAUCAUAAGCACCAGGGAACUAUUACAUAGAGGUACUGUGAAAACUAAUAAACACUGAUUUCUUGGUGAAUAAAAACUUAAUGCAAAUAGGUUUCCAGAAUGAAAUGGAGAAGUAAUUUCUAUUGGGUCAACCCACUCUCAGGUAACAAAAAUAAGCUCCAUACAAAAUAUAAAAUAGAAUUAGAUUAAUCUAAAGGCACUCUAGAAGACCUGAAAGAAAUUGGAAGUAAACUUACACUUGAAAGAAGGAAAUGGCCAGGUAGUUUUCCUGUUUUUAUACAACAUUUUGCUGGAGGGUAGGCCCUAGUUGCAGCUUUCUUGGUGGGUGAAAUUCUGGUAGAAAUCCAGUCUUAUUGGCUUGGAGAACCACAGGACAGAUUUUGGAGGCCAUGGCAGCUGGAGAGUGAGGGGGAAACCCACAAAAGGUAAAAGCCAUGGGUGGGGCGGGGCAAGGGGGAUUCUAUAUAUGAACCUGGAUAAAAUCUCUGGCUGAUCCCUGUAUUACAUAUGCACAGGGAUAACUCCAAAUCGGCCUUAUGAGUCUAAAAUAACUGAAUUGAGUUUUCAGCUGCUCCACUCCACAAAAAACAGGAUUGGAGUUUGAAUUAAAGUUAAAUUAAUUGCCUGCUCAAAAACAAAAACAAAGAAAACAAAUUCCUCAAAGAGACAUAAUAGAUUGCAGUGUCCCUACAACACGUCAUUCAUGAUAUUCAUGUGAUCCAAAAUUACUAGAUCUAUGAAGAAACAGAGAAAUGUGAUCUCAAGACAAAAGGCAAAUAAGUGAAGACUGACUCUGAGAUGACCCAGAGGUUGGAAUUGGCACAUAGGGAUUUUAAAACAGCUAUUAUAACCAUUCCAAGAAUUUAGAGAAAAACAUGCUCACAAUGAAUGAAAGGAGAGAAAAUUUUAGCAGAGGAAUCAAAACUACAAAAGAGAAAUGAAAAUCCAAAAAUUUUUUUUAAAACCUGUAUUUAAAAUUUGCAAGAUAACUUUAACAGUAGAUUAAAAUGAGAAAGUUAAUAAAUUUGAAGACAGAGCAAUAGAAAGUACCUAACCUAAAAAAAAAAAAAACAAGAGAAAAAAUUAGAAAAAAGUAGAGUCUCAGUGAUCUAUGGAAACAAUGUGGAAAGGUCUAACAUAUGUGUAAUUGUAGUCUCAAAAGAAGAGGAGAGAGAGCAAAAAUAUUUGAGAAAAUAAUUGGAAAAAAUUUCCCAAGUUUGGUGAAAGGCAUACAUUUACAGAUAUAACUACAACAAACCCAGUGAAGCCCAAGCAGGAAAAAUACAAAGAAAACCACAUGUAAGCACGUUAGAAUCAGACUUCUCAAACAAUGGUUAAAGAGAAUCUCUUGAAAACAACCACAGAUUAACCACAGAUUAACAUAUUUCAUAAUGUGGAAUGAUAUGAAAUAACAAUAAUUUCUUGUUAGAAACAACAGACACAAGGAGACAGUGGAAUGACAUUUCUAAAAUGGUGAAAGGAGGAAAAAAGUCAACUAAAUGCAAAAAAAAAUCAUUUGAGAAUGAAGGCAAAAUAAAGAUAUUUUCAGAUAAAUGAAAACUAAUAUAAUUUUUAUUAGCAGACCUACAGUACAAGAAACACAAGGGAAGUUCUUUUUUUUUUGAAACAGAGUCUUGCUCUAUUGCCAGGCUGGAGUGCAGUGGCACAAUCUCAGCUCAUUGCAACCUCCACCCUCUGGGUUCAAGCGAUUCUCCCGCCUCAGCCUCCCAAAUAGCUGGGACCACAGGUGCGUGCUACCACGUCCAGCUAACAUUUGUAUUUUUAGUACAGAUGGGGUUUCACCAUGUUGGCUAGGAUGGUCUCAGAUCUCUUGACCUUGUGACCCGCCCACCUUGGCCUCACAAAGUGCUGGGAUUACAGGCGUAGGCCACAGCGCCUGGCUAGAAACACAAAGGAAGUUCUUUAGGCAAAAGGAAUUAAUGCCAGGUGGACACUCAGCCUUUAGAAAACAAUGCAGUGCCCCAAAUGAUAUAUAUGUGGCUAAAUAUUAAGAUUGUCCCUUUCUCCUAAUUUGUUAUAAAUAAACAUGACUAAAGAAAAAUCUAUAUUUCUUCAAACCCCACAUUGUACUGUGGGAUUGAUAACAUUUUUAGAUGAAGUACAUAUGACAACUAAAACAGAAGAAGUAAAUGAAUCUCUAUUUUCAGGAAGAUAUUAUAAGAGGAGGAACGUAUGAAACAGAAAACAGACAAAUGAUAGACAAAAUUAGGUAUAAAACAUUUUGGGUUUUUCUAGGGGAAAUGACAUUAAAGUUUAUAAACUAUACAUAGACAUCCAGAAAAAAAGAGAAAUCACCAAUAUUAGGAAUAAGUAUGUGAAUAUAUUACAGCUCCAACAAAUAUGAACAAGUGUAUACUAGUAAAUUCAACAACUUAGAAGGAAUGGGCAUAUUUUCUGAACAAUACAACUUACUAAACUGACACAAGAUGAAAUAAAAAUUCUUAACUAGUCCUAUAUAUAUAAAAGAAAUUGAAUUUGUUAUCAAAAUCUUCCCUCUGAACUCUGUUAAACAUUUAGGUAAGAAAAAAAUAACAAUCUUACAUAAAUGCUUUCAGAAACCCAGAAGGAAGAAAUACAUCCCAGUGCAUUUUAUGAGGUCAGCGUGAUCCUGAUACUAAACUUGACACAGACAUUUCAAAUAAAGAAAAUGAAAACACUGGUCAUGUUAAGUUGAUUUUCUUUCCCCAUCACUAACAGGAAGGCAGGAGGGCCUGAGGUUGCGGGUAGGGAGUGUGGGCUAGCUGACUGGUAGGGCUACAACAUCAAACUUGUAUGCAGUUCCCAACUGCACAUGGAAGAAAAUGAAGCCCAAUCUGGCCUUCAGGUUACUACAAGACCUUGAAAGAAGCCUGAGGUGGGUGAAGAAAUGUAGAAAAAUUAACUUACAAGAUAAGACACCUGAUUGGCUGAGUAAACAUUUCUUGUCAAACACUUUGAGAACUCUAUGAUUUAUAAAACUAGUACUUAUAGGAGAGUUUUUUACAAUUAUGCUAUGCCAGCAAUGGUUGAUUUUACUGGUCACCUGAACAAUCCACAUGGUGGACAUUGAAAAUAAAUAAGAAAAUUGAGUGAUAAUUAAAUCAGGACACAAAUAGAAAAAAUGAUGAAACUUCUGAACAGAAACAAACCAAUAAAGAAACAACAGCAAUACACAGAACUCCAAUGCAGAAGAAGAAAGUGAAGAACAAAAUGAAGGCAUUUCACCCCUAAACUUUGAAGAGAAUAAAAACAAAGAUUACUUAACAUUUUUAUUUGAAGUUUGGUUUUUACAAAAUACACCUUUGGAUGAAAAUGAGGCUGACCAAAUCUCAAAGGGUUUCUUUUCUCCUUUUAAUGUUUAAGCACUGCUGGAGUGCGCGGUACUUUCUCGUAAGGCAGUCUGAGAAAGUUCUUUGAAACACAUUAUUCAGUUUGAAAACACAACAGAAACAGGUGCUUGAGAUCUACAAGAGCUGCGUUGGGAAGAAACGGGGAAGUGAGAGAGUCACUUCUUUCCUACUGUUGCUAGUAUGGAGGACAUAGCUGAGAAAAAGCAAUCACCGGUAUUGGUGAGGCUCAUUGAUGAAUCUCAGGGCCAGAGAGAAGGAUGUGGGAUUUCUCCCUUCUGAAGCUGAUGCAGGAAGUUUGGCUGUGAAAUGUCACACUACAAUAACUGAGAAGUGGGAAAUGAACAAGGAAUUCUGGUGUGACCUGGCUUAGAUUAUGUCUAGCAGACUUCCUUUCAAAUGGCAAUCACGGUAACUAGAACUUUAGAGAAAUAACCCCAACAUAUCUAUACACCUUGCUCUUCCUCUGCCUUAAAUAUGUAGAAGUCAAAAUCAGUUUUCUGUUGCGGGAGGAUCACCUAUUGCUUUGGAAGAAAUUAAAGAUGUUAGUUCUUUUUUUCUGUUGAUCACAAGUGCUUUAGAGCUCAAUAAUAUAAUGUCUGUCCUCUUUCAGAACAACAAAGAAAAGGCAAAUGAACUGAAGGAAAUCUGCUAUUCACAAUGUACAGGCAUGCAUGAUGCUUUUGAAAUGUUUUUGCUAGCAAUUGUUUUGUGUUUAGAUGAUAUAAAGGAUGACACAAAUGUUAGAUGGAAUACCUUUAUAGCUGGUUGAGCUUUUGUUCUCUGUAGUGCAUUAACAUUUUGAUUUAAUUAUAAAUCAUUGUUGUUCAUAAAAGUGUCCUAUCUUCAGAAAGACCAUUUGGAAAAAAUCUCCAGGGCCACACCUCCGAUGUCUUCUUUGCAAUAGGUAGCUUGACUGCAGCUUUGCAUUACACAAAGAGAUUGAAGAUAUUUACGUUUAUUGUAAAUUUUGAUUUGAGGAAGCCACAGGGUUGACAACCAUACUUGAUGCUGAAAUGAAACAUGCUGGGAAAUUCCUCAAGGCUCAGCAAGAUAAUCUAGAAUCUAAAUUAACCACAGAGAAUUACUAUAAAGAAAUAGUGCUCCAACAAUGAGGCACAUUAUCCAGGACCUUAAAGAUAUUUUCUUAGAACAGUACCUCACAGUUCUUAAAUGUUCUUAAACAGUCAAAAGCAGUUCACUGGUGGCCUUGGUCAUAGAACAGCUUACACUGAACACCACGCCAAUAUGUACUCAGCUGACUUAUUCAAUCCUGAUACAUUCUCUGCCAACCUUCAUUGUUGGAGGUUAAGGCCAAAACGCAGACAAAAAGACAAAGAGCUUCCACCCACCACGUAUAAAACUCCCUAUUUAUCUCACGUAAAGUUUUUUUUUUUUCUUACUGUCUACAUGUUACCGAAGGUCCUGUGUAUUCUUCCUUUUGAUGAAGUUUGAGAAUGAGAGCUAUGAAAUUGGAUGAAAGCCAUAGAAACACUUCAACAGAUCAGAGCCAUAGCCCACUUUGUAGCCUGAGGACCAGAGAAAGGAAGUCUUUAAAGAGAAAGAAGAUAGGAGAAGAUGCAAAAAGGAGAAGCAAAGAUGUACAAACGGUACUUCCUGGAUUCUGUCAGCUGUCAGUUGCUGGUUUCACUUCCUUCCAGAACUCAGUUUCAUUCCCGCCUUUUGAUUCUGUGAAACCCCUCAAUCAUUAUAAUGAUUAAUAAUACCCAACUCCAGGUCGGGCACGGUGGGUCACGCCUGCAAUCCCAGCACUUUGGAAGGCCGAGGAGGGCGGAUCAUGAGGUCAGGAGUUCGAGACCAGCCUGGCCAACAUGGUGAAACCCCGUCUCUACUAAAAAUACAAAAUAUUGGCCAGGCAUGGUGGUGCACGCCUGUAGUUCCAGCUGCUUGGGAGGCUGAGGCAGGAGAAUCACUUGAACCCGGGAGGCGGAGGUUGCAGUGAGCCGAGAUUGUGCCACUGCACUCCGGCCUGGGUGACAGAGGAAGACUCUGUCUCAAAAAUAAUAAUAAUGAUAACCCAAAUCCCAAACUUUUUUUUUUUUUUUUUUUGGCCAAGUUGAAUUUCUGUUAAAAAGGCUCAAAUAAUACAAAAAUUAAUGUGGCUUGUGAGAGGUUUUCUUCUAUAAACAACCAACCAGCCUUAAUCAUGGUCCAUAUACUUUGUGCUUCACUCAUGGUGAUAGCCCCUCUUUUAUCUAUUCCCUCAAUCUGAGGGUACAUUUUAUUUUAUUUAUUUUUAAUAAUUUCAACUUUUAUUUCAGAUUCAGGGGGUAUCAAUGCAGGCUUGUUACAUGGGUAUAUUGCACGGUACUGAGGUUUGGGGUAUGGAUGAUUCCAUCACCAAGGUAGUGAGCAUAGUAUCCGAUAGGUAAUUUUUCAACCCAUGCUCCAUUCCCUCUUCCCUCUAGAGGUCUCCAGUGUGUACUAUUCCCAUCUUUAUGUCGAUGUGUACUCAAUGUUUAGCCCUCACUUAUAAGCGAGAACAUGUAGUAUUUGGUUUUCUGUUCCUGCCUUCACUUUCUUAAGAUAAUGGCCACCAGCUGCAGCCAUGCUGCUGCAAAGGACAUGAUUUUAUUAUUUUUUACAGCUACAUAAUAUUUCCUGGGAUAUAUGUGCCACAUUUUAUUUAUCCAGUCCACCAUCAAUGUGCAUCUAGGUUGAUUCUAUGUCUUCGCUGUUGUGAAUACUGCUGUGAUAAACAUAUGAGUGCAUGUGUCUGUUUUCCUUUGGGUAUAUAUCUGGUAAUGGAAUUGUUGGGUCAAAUGGUAGUUCUGUUUUAAGUUCUUUGAGAAAUCUCCAAACUGUCUUCCAUAGUGGCUGGACUAAUUUACAUUUCCAUCAACAGCGUGUAAGCAAUUACCUUUUCUCCGCAUCUCACCAGCGUCUGUUAUUUUUUGACUUUUUAAUGGUAGCCAUUCUGAAUGGUGUAAGAUGGUAUCUCACUGUGGUUUUGAUUUGCAUUGCUCUGAUAAUUAGUGAUGAUGAGCAUUUUUUCCUGUGUUUGUUGGCCACUUACAUGUCUUCUUCUGAUAAGUGUCUGUUUAUGUCCUUUGCCCAUUUUUUAAUGAGGUUACUUGUUUUAUUUCUUGUUGAGUUGUUUUAAGUUCCUUAUAGAUUCUGGAUAGGGUCCAUUUUAGCUGUAAACUUAUGGUGCUUCCUGUGCACUCACCAAAGUGCUGAACCUAGAACUACUUAGACCAUUUUUGCUCUCAUAAAAGUUCAGUGUCAAACUUUUAAUAUUUUCCUGACUAGAGAGAGUUGACUGUCAGAAAAUGAUUAAUGAUUAUGAUUUGACAUUCAGUGACUUCUUUAGGUUCUUUUUUUUUUUUUUUUUUUUUGAGAUGGAGUCUCAUUCUGUCUCCUAGGCUGGAGUGCAAUGGCGCAAGCUCAACUCACUGCAACCUCUGCCUCUCAGGUUCAAGCGAUUCUCCUGCCUCAGCCUCCCGAGUAGCUGGGACUACAGGCACCCACCACUACGCCUGGCUAAUUUUUGUAUUUUUAGUAGAGACAGGGUUUCACCAUGUUGGUCUGGCUGGUCUCAAACUUCCGACCUCAGGUGAUCCACCCGCCUCGGCCUCACAAAGUGCUGGGAUUAUAGGUGUGAGCCACUGUGCCCAGCCUUUCAGAUUCAUUUUCAAAAAGUUCUAAUUCCUUCAUGUAAUUCAUGGAAAAGAAAUCAGGUUUUGUUUGCCUUACUAUUAUUUACAAUAUAGACAAUAGUUUUAAUACUGUGGAAUGAAGCACUUGAGUAUUUUUUGUCUUUUAAAUGUCAAUGAGUUCUAUUUUCAGAAAUUUGGCAUGGGCUCAGCAUAAAUUUAUGUGACAUGUAUUUAGUGAUUAAGACAAAAAAAAUAACAUUCACUAACAUUGCUAAAUAAAAAUUUUCCAGUACUACCAAUAUAAUAUAUCUUGUUUAUUAUAGCUUUAAGGAUUUUUCUAGAAAACUGAAGAUAGCAGAGAAUUAACACAACUCUAAAAUAUCCUGAAAACUAAUUUUUGCUUAUAUGAUUGAGAAAAUUAUCUUCACAUUUCACGUUGCGGACUCUGCCUACCUUCAGUGAAAUAUUUUUGGCUUAGAAAACUAGUGUCUAGAACACAUUAGGUUUCAGAAAGUUUUUUGGCACUUCUGUAAGAAACUCCACUCAACUUAUUGUGAAAUUUUAUUAAGUAAAUUAAGUGAAAAUUCUUUAAUAAGUAUUCAAUACUGUGUUAGGUGGUAUAGGUAUUAAGGGAAAAAAGAUGAGUUGUGGCCUUUGCCCUCACUUGUCUGAUAAAAUAGUUGGGAAGAGACGUAAAGCAACAAUUAAUAAAACAGGACAGCUCAGAGUAAUGUGUAUGCUGAUUUUUAGAAGUUCUGAGAUGAGAGAGAGAAAGAUGGAGCAAAUAUAAACAUAGAAGCUAAGAACAGAGGACACAGAGAGAACAAGUUCAUCCUGCAUUUCUGACCACUUUUCUGUUAUUCUUUCCUUGAGGCUCCACUGAAGUGAAUGAAACCUGAAAUGGUAGAGAGAACUGCAAAGAAGAGGCUCAUAGGCGGAAGGGACUUGCCUUGUUUCAGAUGAGACUUUGGACUGUGGACUUUUGAGUUGAUGCUGAAAUGAGUGAAGACCUUGGGGAACUAUUGGGAAGACAUGAUUGAUUUUGAAAUGUGAGGACAUGAGAUUGGGCAGGGUCCAGGGGAGGAAUGAUAUAAUUUGACUCUGUAUGGUUUUAUCAAGGGUUUCCACUUUUGCGUCUUCCUCAUUCUCUUGUUGCCCGCUGCCAUGUAAGACGGGACUUGCUCCUCCUUGCCUUCCACCAUGAUUGUGAGGCUUCCCCAGUCACGUGG
Symphalangus syndactylus (siamang) is the source of this 10502-nucleotide long non-coding RNA. RefSeq lists it as uncharacterized. The record is from RefSeq and is a predicted model, not a curated record. Lineage: Eukaryota; Metazoa; Chordata; Mammalia; Primates; Hylobatidae.